This 253-nucleotide ribosomal RNA is filed under the name uncultured bacterium. Its description in RNAcentral is "partial 16S ribosomal RNA". It matches the Rfam family "Bacterial small subunit ribosomal RNA", at positions 524 to 776 of the family's 1533-position model. The record is from RNAcentral.
UACGUAGGGGGCAAGCGUUGUCCGGAUUUAUUGGGCGUAAAGAGCGUGUAGGCGGCUAUACAGGUCCGUUGUGAAAACUCGAGGCUCAACCUCGAGACGCCGAUGGAAACCGUAUGGCUAGAGUCCGGAAGAGGAGAGCGGAAUUCCUGGUGUAGCGGUGAAAUGCGCAGAUAUCAGGAAGAACACCCGUGGCGAAGGCAGGUCUCUGGGCCACUACUGACGCUGAGAAGCGAAAGCAUGGGGAGCGAACAGG